Molecule: ribosomal RNA, 1429 nt
Filed under: Valsaria neotropica
Lineage: Eukaryota; Fungi; Ascomycota; Dothideomycetes; Valsariales; Valsariaceae
Description: eukaryotic LSU rRNA
Rfam family: Eukaryotic large subunit ribosomal RNA (bases 510-1429)
Source: RNAcentral
UCCGUAGGUGAACCUGCGGAAGGAUCAUUAAAAGAGAGCGGCCGCUCCGGCGGCCACCCCUCGAACCCCUGGAUUUUGCUCACCGAGUAGCCCCCCCGGGCCGCCCCAGGCGGCCGAUGGGGGGGCGUGAAAACCGCGAAACGUCCUGACCUCGCGAGAGACUGAGCCCCCAAGCGGCGAAUAAAUCAAAACUUUCAACAAUGGAUCUCUUGGCUCUGGCAUCGAUGAAGAACGCAGCGAAAUGCGAUAAGUAAUGUGAAUUGCAGAAUUCCGUGAAUCAUCGAAUCUUUGAACGCACAUUGCGCCCUCCGGCAUUCCGGAGGGCACGCCUGUCCGAGCGUCAUUACACCCCUCAAGCUCUGCUUGGUGUUGGGCGACGUCCCCGCCUCCCCGGCGGACGCGCCUCGAAGAACUCGGCGGCCCCAGAACGGCUCCGGGCGUAGCAAAAGCGAACCGCCCUCGGAGACCGCCUGGCGGCCUGCCGCGAGAAUGACACAACUUUUCAAGGUUGACCUCGGAUCAGGCGGGGAUACCCGCUGAACUUAAGCAUAUCAAUAAGCGGAGGAAAAGAAACCAACAGGGAUUGCCUCAGUAACGGCGAGUGAAGCGGCAACAGCUCAAAUUUGAAAUCUGGCCCCCUCGGGGUCCGAGUUGUAAUUUGCAGAGGGUGCUUCGGCGUCGGCCCCGGUCCAAGUUCCUUGGAACAGGACGUCACAGAGGGUGAGAACCCCGUACGUGGCCGGGAGCCUUCGCCGUGUGAAGCCCCUUCGACGAGUCGAGUUGUUUGGGAAUGCAGCUCUAAAUGGGAGGUAAAUUUCUUCUAAAGCUAAAUACCGGCCAGAGACCGAUAGCGCACAAGUAGAGUGAUCGAAAGAUGAAAAGCACUUUGGAAAGAGAGUUAAAAAGCACGUGAAAUUGUUGAAAGGGAAGCAGUUGCAGCCAGACUUGGCCGCGGGUGCUCAUCCGGGCUUCUGCCCGGUGCACUCGCCCGCGGUCAGGCCAGCAUCAGUUCGGGCGGCCGGAUAAAGGCCCUGGGAAUGUGGCUCCCCUCGGGGAGUGUUAUAGCCCGGGGCGCAAUACGGCCAGCCUGGACUGAGGUCCGCGCUUCGGCUAGGAUGCUGGCGUAAUGGCUGUAACUGGCCCGUCUUGAAACACGGACCAAGGAGUCUAACAUCUAUGCGAGUGUUUGGGUGUCAAACCCAUGCGCGUAAUGAAAGUGAACGGAGGUGAGAGCCGCAAGGCGCAUCAUCGACCGAUCCUGAUGUCUUCGGAUGGAUUUGAGUAUGAGCAUAGCUGUUGGGACCCGAAAGAUGGUGAACUAUGCCUGAACAGGGUGAAGCCAGAGGAAACUCUGGUGGAAGCUCGCAGCGGUUCUGACGUGCAAAUCGAUCGUCAAAUUUGGGUAUAGGGGCGAAAGACUAAUCGAACC